GCACCUGUAGCUCAGUCGGUCAGAGCAUCUCGUUUACACCGAGAGGGUCGGGGGUUUCGAGUUCCCUCCGGGUGCA
This 76-nucleotide transfer RNA is filed under the name Rhodococcus (subgen. Prescottella) equi. RNAcentral's name for it is "Rhodococcus hoagii tRNA-Val". It matches the Rfam family "tRNA". Rfam says of the family: Transfer RNA (tRNA) molecules are approximately 80 nucleotides in length. Their secondary structure includes four short double-helical elements and three loops (D, anti-codon, and T loops). Further hydrogen bonds mediate the characteristic L-shaped molecular structure. tRNAs have two regions of fundamental functional importance: the anti-codon, which is responsible for specific mRNA codon recognition, and the 3' end, to which the tRNAs corresponding amino acid is attached (by aminoacyl-tRNA synthetases). tRNAs cope with the degeneracy of the genetic code in two manners: having more than one tRNA (with a specific anti-codon) for a particular amino acid; and 'wobble' base-pairing, i.e. permitting non-standard base-pairing at the 3rd anti-codon position. Lineage: Bacteria; Bacillati; Actinomycetota; Actinomycetes; Mycobacteriales; Nocardiaceae. The record is from RNAcentral.